RNAcentral lists this long non-coding RNA (1182 nucleotides) under Meriones unguiculatus (Mongolian gerbil). RNAcentral's name for it is "lncRNA (ENSMUGG00000012839.1)". The record is from RNAcentral. Lineage: Eukaryota; Metazoa; Chordata; Mammalia; Rodentia; Muridae.
CGAAAGUAUGACUACAUAUCUCAUUCUCAGGACCAUACAAAACAUGAAGGAAUAGCACUGUGGACUGAACUGCUUCCAUCUCAGAUCUGUGUACCGAACCCUAAUUCUCAGCACGACUGCACUUGGAGAUAAGGCUGGUAAAAUUGGUUAACUUGGGGGAGUCAUCAGAGAGCUUACUCCCUCCACCAUGUGAGGACUGAGCAACAAGGCAGCCAUCUGAGAGCCAGGAAAAAGCCUCACAGGGAACUGAGUAAUCUAUUGCCUUGAUCUUGGACUAGAAAUUAUUAAAACAAAACAAAACAAAAAAAUUCCUAUUGUUUUGUGGUCUGUGGUAUUUUGUCAGACAACCUGAGGCUAUAGAAGCCACGCCUACUUGGCGAGCAUAUCAAAGUCUCUCAAACAUAUCUUGCAAGAUGCAUCCUAGUUUGAAAACUUAAGUUUCUAAGGUAUUUUAAUAUUUUUUUGUAAACUCUACUAAAAUAUCUCAUUUAGUAAAAUUUAAUAUUGUCAUUCACAUUCAGGUAUAGUAGCUCAAAGGAGGAUCAUCACAAAUCCACAUACAGAUCUCAGCUUAAGCUUCCUCGUGAGCCCGAAUGGAAGGCUGCUUCUCUCUGCUCCGUGGUCCAGGGACAGGAGUUCCCCACUGGUUUCUGCACAAGGAUUCUCCAGUACCCGGAUCCACGUUUUCCAGUUGGAAAGACAUACAGCUGUCCACACGUGAAAACCACCAUUUUGCCUGUCUACAGCCAGUACUCAGCCCAGCUGCGAGCUCUCUUCAAGCCACCCUGGAAACAGGCUUUCAGACAUGCUGUUCACGGUAUGCGCAACAGGAACCUUGCCUUUUCCCGGUCCAUACUCCACCUUAAUCCCUUCACUCUCCCUGUUGUAAAGGAACUGAAUGGGUCUGCUCCCCCACUACCACUCUUGGCUGCCAUUAACAUCCGGCCUGAGGAAAGAGCACCAUGGGAAAUGAACCCUGGACGUUGCAGAAUAGAUCUGCUCAAGUGGCUCUCAUCAUCCGGGACAUAGUUCCUUUCUGUUUGUUCAGAAGGAAGGGAGGGCUUGUCUGUCUGUCUGUCUGUCUGUCUAGGAAGGUCCUAGAGCCAUGGCUUCUAAAUGAGGUGCACACAGGGGAGAAUUUCUGUCGAAAUAAAAUGACUUGCAUCGUUAGUGAGAAAUACA